Molecule: non-coding RNA, 72 nt
Organism: Ictidomys tridecemlineatus (thirteen-lined ground squirrel)
Lineage: Eukaryota; Metazoa; Chordata; Mammalia; Rodentia; Sciuridae
Source: Rfam
GGUGUUGUGGCUCAGCAGUAGAGUGCUCGCCUUGCACGUGUGAGACCCUGGGUUCGAUCUUCAGCAACACAU